Long non-coding RNA from Triticum aestivum (bread wheat), 1596 nucleotides. RefSeq lists it as uncharacterized. The record is from RefSeq and is a predicted model, not a curated record. The transcript is spliced from 6 exons. NCBI's taxonomy places the organism in Eukaryota, Viridiplantae, Streptophyta, Magnoliopsida, Poales, Poaceae.
GGCUGGCAUAACCGGAUGUGAGAAGAUAGUUGAGAAUCUUCUGUUUGCAAUUAAGAACCCUGCACAGCUAGAUGUUUCACUGUCAGUCCUGAAUCCCGUGACCACACUGCCGGGUCAUAAGGCGGUGGUGAACUGCACGCUGUGGCUUCCAACCAAGAAGGGUGCAUUCAAGGGAGACACACUAUCUAUUGUCCGGAAGUUCUGAUGGUGCUAUUAUGACGUGGAAGAUUGGUUCUGGAAUAGGCAAGUGGUUGCUAGGAAAAAGUUUGCCUGUUUAUCUUAAUCAAGUCGGCGGGCAUGGCGCUGCUGCAUCAUACUUGCAUGGCCCGAUGGCGCCCGUCAUCGUCCAUGAGCAGGACAAACAGCUGGCAAUGGAGCCGCUCUGGGCUCCAAGACGAGCCGCUCUGGGCGCUCCGCCGUGCCGCCGGUUCCUCCGGCAAUAUCAUGAACACCAAGGAAUACGCGCAAAUGAUCAGCUGGCCCAUCAACUCCAGCAAGAAGCAAUAGGCUGACGUCGCCUACGCGGCGAUGACUGAAGGGACGCACAACAGUGCCGUCGUCAUCAUGAACAUCAUCACGUUGGUCGACGCCUUCUUUGAUGCGAACAACUAGAUGGAGCUGUUCCCUUCUAAUGUGUGCAAGGCAAUGGCCAUUCAGGUCAUACACCAUGGCGCUGCUUCUGGCGAACUCGGCAGUUGAUCUCUCAUAUUGGUAAUCACUGUUUGAUGCUUCAGGUUUCAUCCUCCUGCCCUAUUCCACUUGAUUUUUCCAAUAUGGUAAAUAUCAGCAGAAAAGAAAUUCACUGCUAAAGUUAACAAUAUAUAUGUGUAGAAAUACAUCAAUAGAAUAGAUGUCCAUGUAAAUUAAGAAUUUAGGAUUAGCUACAUCUUCAGACUGGAGCUGAGUUACAACUUCACUUGGUGGAUCACUGGAGCUUAGGAUACUAUGAAUAGUGACUUGUUGUGUUCAAUCUGCAACAAUAGGCUAAACAAAAUGUAGUGUAUUAUGUCCAGAAUGUUUAAAAUGGAACGGUUAAGUUUAUAAGAUUGUGUGUAUCUAAAAAGAAGGUUUGGAGUUCAAACAGUUCUCAUAAAUUUAUGCAAAUGAUAUCCACUUCAGAAAUGUCAUUCCUAUGUUGGUAACAAACAUCGUGUCUUGCUUUUAAAAAGGGCAACCUGGUGCAUGUAGCUCCCGCUUGCGCAGGGUUCAGGGAAGGGUCCGACCACUUUGGGUCUAUAGUACGCAGCCUUUCCUUACAUUUCUGUAAGAGGCUGUUUCCAGGACUUGAACCCAUGACCUCAUGGUCACAAGGCAGCAUCGUGUCUUGCUUUUACAGGGGAUAUAUUGAAGCAGUAAGAGAACUUGACCAGAAAAUUCAGUUAUCUGGUGAUGUUCAGUUUGACGACAUUGUUGUUGCCUGCGGCGGAUAUGUCCCAACAGUUCUACAUGGCUAUGAUGAGUGCACUGGAAUGCAUACAAGCUGGCAAGGUUUUUUUUUUGUUUUUUGCCUUUGAUGCUCAGUACAGACAUAUUUGAUACUUAUCAUAUUGAAAAUCCACCCUUAUGGUUUUCUACCCUCCUGCUUCAUGUUCUGGU